Molecule: unclassified non-coding RNA, 292 nt
Filed under: uncultured fungus
Lineage: Eukaryota; Fungi
Description: sequence contains ITS1
Source: RNAcentral
GGACUACCGGGGUUUCUAAUCCUGUUCGCUCCCCACGCUUUCGUGCCUCAGCGUCAAUAAUAGUUUAGCAGACUGCCUUCGCAAUCGGUGUUCUAUAACAUAUCUAAGCAUUUCACCGCUACAUGUUAUAUUCCAUCUGCCUCAGCUAUAUUCAAGAAAAUCAGUUUCAAUGGCAGUUCCACAGUUGAGCUGCGGGCUUUCACCACUGACUUAAUUUUCCGCCUACGCACCCUUUAAACCCAGUAAAUCCGGACAACGCUUGGAUCCUUCGUCUUACCGCGGCGGCUGGCAC